GACGAACGCUGGCGGCGUGCUUAACACAUGCAAGUCGAACGGAAAGGCCCUGCUUUUGUGGGGUGCUCGAGUGGCGAACGGGUGAGUAACACGUGAGUAACCUGCCCUUGACUUUGGGAUAACUUCAGGAAACUGGGGCUAAUACCGGAUAGGAGCUCCUGCUGCAUGGUGGGGGUUGGAAAGUUUCGGCGGUUGGGGAUGGACUCGCGGCUUAUCAGCUUGUUGGUGGGGUAGUGGCUUACCAAGGCUUUGACGGGUAGCCGGCCUGAGAGGGUGACCGGCCACAUUGGGACUGAGAUACGGCCCAGACUCCUACGGGAGGCAGCAGUGGGGAAUAUUGCACAAUGGGCGGAAGCCUGAUGCAGCAACGCCGCGUGCGGGAUGACGGCCUUCGGGUUGUAAACCGCUUUCGCCUGUGACGAAGCGUGAGUGACGGUAAUGGGUAAAGAAGCACCGGCUAACUACGUGCCAGCAGCCGCGGUGAUACGUAGGGUGCGAGCGUUGUCCGGAUUUAUUGGGCGUAAAGGGCUCGUAGGUGGUUGAUCGCGUCGGAAGUGUAAUCUUGGGGCUUAACCCUGAGCGUGCUUUCGAUACGGGUUGACUUGAGGAAGGUAGGGGAGAAUGGAAUUCCUGGUGGAGCGGUGGAAUGCGCAGAUAUCAGGAGGAACACCAGUGGCGAAGGCGGUUCUCUGGGCCUUUCCUGACGCUGAGGAGCGAAAGCGUGGGGAGCGAACAGGCUUAGAUACUCUGGUAGUCCACGCUGUAAACGGUGGGUACUAGGUGUGGGGUCCAUUCCACGGGUUCCGUGCCGUAGCUAACGCUUUAAGUACCCCGCCUGGGGAGUACGGCCGCAAGGCUAAAACUCAAAGGAAUUGACGGGGCCCCGCACAAGCGGCGGAGCAUGCGGAUUAAUUCGAUGCAACGCGUAGAACCUUACCUGGGUUUGACAUGGAUCGGGAGUGCUCAGAGAUGGGUGUGCCUCUUUUGGGGUCGGUUCACAGGUGGUGCAUGCCUGUCGUCAGCUCGUGUCGUGAGAUGUUGGGUUAAGUCCCGCAACGAGCGCAACCCUUGUUCACUGUUGCCAGCACGUUAUGGUGGGGACUCAGUGGAGACCGCCGGGGUCAACUCGGAGGAAGGUGGGGAUGACGUCAAGUCCUCAUGCCCCUUAUGUCCAGGGCUUCACGCAUGCUACAAUGGCUGGUACAGAGAGUGGCGAGCCUGUGAGGGUGAGCGAAUCUCGGAAAGCCGGUCUCAGUUCGGAUUGGGGUCUGCAACUCGACCUCAUGAAGUCGGAGUCGCUAGUAAUCGCAGAUCAGCAACGCUGCGGUGAAUACGUUCCCGGG
This 1343-nucleotide ribosomal RNA is filed under the name uncultured bacterium. RNAcentral's name for it is "16S ribosomal RNA". It matches the Rfam family "Bacterial small subunit ribosomal RNA", at positions 28 to 1378 of the family's 1533-position model. The record is from RNAcentral.